RNAcentral lists this transfer RNA (72 nucleotides) under Camelus ferus (Wild Bactrian camel). It matches the Rfam family "tRNA". From Rfam's summary of the family: Transfer RNA (tRNA) molecules are approximately 80 nucleotides in length. Lineage: Eukaryota; Metazoa; Chordata; Mammalia; Artiodactyla; Camelidae. The record is from Rfam by way of RNAcentral.
GAGGGUGUAGCUCAGUGGCAGAUCGCACGUUUAGCAAGCAUGAGGUCCUGGGUUCAAUCCCCAGUACCUCCA